RNAcentral lists this ribosomal RNA (561 nucleotides) under uncultured bacterium. Its description in RNAcentral is "bacterial SSU rRNA". It matches the Rfam family "Bacterial small subunit ribosomal RNA", at positions 338 to 916 of the family's 1533-position model. The record is from RNAcentral.
CCUACGGGAGGCAGCAGUGGGGAAUAUUGGACAAUGGGCGAAAGCCUGAUCCAGCAAUGCCGCGUGAGUGAUGAAGGCCUUCGGGUCGUAAAGCUCUUUUACCAGGGAUGAUAAUGACAGUACCUGGAGAAUAAGCUCCGGCUAACUCCGUGCCAGCAGCCGCGGUAAUACGGAGGGAGCUAGCGUUGUUCGGAAUUACUGGGCGUAAAGAGUACGCAGGCGGUUAUUCAAGUCAGAGGUGAAAGCCCGGGGCUCAACCCCGGAACUGCCUUUGAAACUAGAUAACUAGAGUCUUGGAGAGGUUAGUGGAAUUCCGAGUGUAGAGGUGAAAUUCGUAGAUAUUCGGAAGAACACCAGUGGCGAAGGCGACUAACUGGACAAGUACUGACGCUGAGGUACGAAAGCGUGGGGAGCAAACAGGAUUAGAUACCCUGGUAGUCCACGCCGUAAACGAUGAUAACUAGUUGUUCGGUCACUUGGUGACUGAGUGACGCAGCUAACGCAUUAAGUUAUCCGCCUGGGGAGUACGGUCGCAAGNUUAAAACUCAAAUGAAUUGACGG